This 657-nucleotide ribosomal RNA is filed under the name uncultured bacterium. RNAcentral's name for it is "bacterial SSU rRNA". It matches the Rfam family "Bacterial small subunit ribosomal RNA", at positions 35 to 700 of the family's 1533-position model. The record is from RNAcentral.
GCUGGCGGUGCGCCUUAUGCAUGCAAGUCGAGCGAAGCUUUUCAGUAGUUUACUACAGAAAAUGACUGAGCGGCGAACGGGUGAGUAACGCGUGAGCAAUCUACCUUAGUUACAGGGAUAGCCCGAGGAAACUCGGAUUAAUACCUGAUAUUCUUUUUAUCUCGCAUGAGAUUUUAAGGAAAGGUCAGCCGAACUAAGAUGAGCUCGCGUUCUAUCAGCUAGUUGGUGAGGUAAUAGCUCACCAAGGCUACGACGGAUAGCUGGUCUGAGAGGACGAUCAGCCACACUGGGACUGAGACACGGCCCAGACUCCUACGGGAGGCUGCAGCAGGGAAUAUUGCGCAAUGAGCGAAAGCUUGACGCAGCGACACCGCGUGUGGGAUGACGGAUCUAGGUUUGUAAACCACUUUCAGGAGGGAAGAAAAUGACGGUACCUCCACAAGAAGCCCCGGCCAACUACGUGCCAGCAGCCGCGGUAAUACGUAGGGGGCGAGCGUUGUCCGGAUUUAUUGGGCGUAAAGAGCUCGUAGGCGGUUCAACAAGUCGGUCGUGAAAGUUCAGGGCUCAACCCUGAAAUGUCGAUCGAUACUGUUGUGACUAGGAUACGGUAGAGGUGAGUGGAAUUCCGAGUGUAGCGGUGAAAUGCGUAGAUAUUCG